RNAcentral lists this ribosomal RNA (465 nucleotides) under uncultured bacterium. RNAcentral's name for it is "partial 16S ribosomal RNA". It matches the Rfam family "Bacterial small subunit ribosomal RNA", at positions 339 to 795 of the family's 1533-position model. The record is from RNAcentral.
CUACGGGGUGCUGCAGUGGGGAAUAUUGGACAAUGGGGGAAACCCUGAGCCAGCAAUGCCGCGUGUGUGAAGAAGGCCUGCGGGUUGUAAAGCACUUUCGGUUGGGAGGACUGCUUCUAGCACUAAUAUUGUUGGAAGUUGACGUUACCUUCAGAAGAAGCACCGGCUAACUCCGUGCCAGCAGCCGCGGUAAUACGGAGGGUGCAAGCGUUAAUCGGAAUUACUGGGCGUAAAGCGCGCGUAGGCGGCUAGAUCAGUCGGGUGUGAAAGCCCCGGGCUUAACCUGGGAACUGCAUCCGAUACUGUCUAGCUUGAGUACAGGAGAGGAGGGUGGAAUUCCACAUGUAGCGGUGAAAUGCGUAGAUAUGUGGAGGAACACCAAUGGCGAAGGCAGCUCUCUGGCCUGAUACUGACGCAGAGGUGCGAAAGCGUGGGGAGCAAACAGGAUUAGAUACCCCGGUAGUC